Molecule: long non-coding RNA, 296 nt
Filed under: Musa acuminata (dwarf banana)
Lineage: Eukaryota; Viridiplantae; Streptophyta; Magnoliopsida; Zingiberales; Musaceae
Description: long non-coding RNA (MACU_LNC011744)
Source: RNAcentral
UUAGAAUCUGCAAGGGUUCUAACACCUGUGCUAAUUUCCGGGCGCAGUACUCAGACCUGGACCUAGAGUCAGACCCUUUCAUCGAUAACUCGGCGGACUAGGACAUCGACAUGCCGGUGAACGUCCCCUUCGACGACAGGUCGACGACUCCUCCCUUGAGCUAGAGGGUGCACCCCCUCGCCUUUUGAGUUUUAUUUUCCUUCCCCCUUUUUCAUUUGGUUGGGCUUGGGGCGAUGUCGCCCGACUGCUAUAUGUACCUGCUUUAUGAUCGAGAAGCACUUUCAUUUUAGACUUCU